Non-coding RNA from Ictidomys tridecemlineatus (thirteen-lined ground squirrel), 4609 nucleotides. The record is from RefSeq and is a predicted model, not a curated record. NCBI's taxonomy places the organism in Eukaryota, Metazoa, Chordata, Mammalia, Rodentia, Sciuridae.
GCUGUGCUUCCUGAGAACUUGGUAGGAGCUGGAGCAAGGGCCCCAGUGGCCAGAGGCCUCUCCCUCAAACCCUGCUCUCUUGCACUUCCUCUUCCACAACCAAAGGCCACUCCCGAAGCUUGCCUAGCUGACAAGAGAGGGCGAUGUGCCUCUCUUCCUCUGCCUCUGGACCCUCCUGACCAUGUCCUGCCCUAAGCUGCCAUCAGGACCGGUUGGUCUCCUGGCAGCUGCACCUGGAACUUCUCACAGGUCUAGCUCAGGCCUCAGACCCAGGUUCACUCACCCUCCUAGGAGAGGCCCUGCAGGGCAGAGUGGUCCUGCAGCUUAGAGUCUGAGGGCUCCUGUCCCACAUGCGGGUGUCUCCUCCUCCCAACCUGGAAUGUCCAGGGCAUCUUGCCACCUCCGAAGCCCUGGCACCUGGCCCCAGGGUCAGUGAGUGAAGGAGUGUGUGCAGGGUCCUGUGUGCAGGGUCCUGAGAGAGGAGGCCUCUGGGUCUCCACCAGCGGGUUUCUGUCCGUCCACCCAGGGAAAGUCAAGGAGAUGAGGGCGGCCUGGCAGAACGUGGGCUCUGCUGUGUGCCUGAGGCUGAGUCUUCUCUCCAGCGUCUCCCUUGGCCCUCACUUGGUCGCCCAGCAUCCAGCAUGAUAAUGCCAGCACGUGUGACUGGGGAUCCAGCAGCGAGCAAGCCAGCAGGUCCCCAGCCGGAAGGGCCCAGUCUAGAAAGAGAACCCACUAGCUGGGGCUGGAGCUCCGCAGGAGGGCAGGGGUGGGAAGGUGGGCAUGAGGGAACCUCUUCAGAGAGAAACUGCCACCAGGUCCUGGCCUGGAGGGCUCGGGCCAAACGGGACUCCUGGGCCAGGCUGCCGUUCCAGAAGGGGUACGGGCAGCCUCCCACUCCCGGUUGCCACACCGUGUCUUGUGACCAUCACAAGGAUCCCAGGUGACAAGGUGCCAUUAUUCCCCCCUCACAGGUAGAGGAACUGAUGCUCAAGCCCUCAGCCACCGGCAUCAGGAUCUGUCCUGGAGGCAGCAGCGGGAUUCCCACGGAAAGCUCCCUGACUGCAAAGCCUGCAUUUAACGGGCUUAGCUGCAAGGGCCUGCCAGGACCAGGCCCUCCUGGACAGCGGCAGGGCCACCGUCACAGAGGGGCUCUGCCUGGGACCUUUCUCUGGGCUCCUUGACCACGAGAACCUGAAUCUGGAGAGUGCUCUGGCCCCAGGGCACCUCGGGCACAGUGCGCUCGCUCGCCUGGGUCCAGGAGGACUCAGCCAUUUGGGGGUCUUUGCUCCCUGAGCCCACCUUUCACUGGGGGGUCAGCGGCCCUGUUUUCCCCACUUCUCCCCAGUUAACUGGGCUCCCAGGGGGUAAGGGAGGCUCCAUGACCUGGCCAGUGGGGGGCUCAUUUUGGGUGCUCCUACACAUGAAGAAGGUCACACUCAUUAUCUGAGCUUCUAGUAAGACAUUUCCAAUCUUAAACAAGUGUCUUUAAAAAAAAAAAUAGGUGUCCAUUAAGUGUACCCAGAACGUGGACCACACGGGACAAGGUUGUUCUAAUAAAUACGACUGAGCCAGUUUUCACAUCCGAGAAAUAACAGCUCCUCAUCGAAACGUGGCACUUUUAAAGAGGUUAAUUGAUAAACAGCAGGUAAUUGUUCGUGGUGCGUCGUGGCGCAGGGUAAUUUUCAUUUGAGAGGAUGGAAGGGCCAAGUACCCCUCCCCACUCAGCAUUUUUCUGUAAUAAUCACCUUGGCUUCCCCUCCGCCUUUAAUUUUUACAGCUGGAGCUGUUUAUCAUCGCUCCAACUUUCACUAAAGAGGCAAAACUAUCACUUAAACAAAGCCAUUGAAAACUCGGCAUCGUAUGCGGCUUUCUUAACAUAAAUAAAUCCUACAAACCAAGAUUUAUGUUCUCUGGAUGAUGUCAUUCAUUGAAGGCUGCUUCCCAAUCAGGUCAGCCUUUCCUGAUUCUCCCUUUGUGCCUGUGCUUUUCGCUAACCAGGAACAACCCGCUCUUUUGUCCCCAUCCCAAGACCUCAGAAGGUCUCACCCUGGGUCAGAGCCCGGCUCAACGGUGAGGACGGCUUUCCCUGCAGCCUGCCUCCCAAGCCCCUGCUUUUGAAGGUCAGCCUGAGGUUGACAGACUGGGAGACCCACCCGCAGCAGCGUUCUGGAAGCGCCAGGCAGGAGUCCGCAGGAGCCCAGUCCCGGGUGGGAGGGGGAGCAUCAGUCCUGAAGAGAUAGGCAGGUGCAAGGGAGAGGCAUGUGGCCAUGGAUGGGACCGGAGCCCUGGCUCAUGGUCGCUGAGGGACAAUACCCGUCACCCAAGGUCACGUCUUGUGGGAUUCACAUCAUGAAAUGCCCAGGUCCUGCCAACCUAGAGUCGGUGAAAAUAGAUUCGUGAGGAGCGGGCAGGGGACGCCUGCUUCAGGGUUUGGUUCCUUGUGAUAAUGUCUGGAAGGGGCAGUGCCCGGGUGGCACUCCUUGGGAGCCUGCCGAAGACCACAGCCUCGAACCCUCAACAAAGGCGGACGUGGUCACACGGAACCAGAUCCCCAAGAGGCUGCUGUUUAAAAUAACUACUCGGCAUUCACGUUUCAAAAGUCUUCUGCUCAUCUUCAAAGUCUUCACUUUUGAAAGGAGCAGCCGAAUCAAGUCCAGCUGCCUAACACAGACCCUGGGGUGUGAGCCUAGCUGCAGAGCUCCUUGCAGUGAUGGGGACCAUGGCAGCCCCAAUGGCAGAGGAAAUGUGGUCCACCCACUCACGCACGGGGACAUUCCUCAGCCGCCAGGGGAACGGAACAAAGCUCCUGCGGGCUUGGAAAUACCUUCCGGGGUGGAGGGAACCACACACAGAGCCACAGGCCGUGUGACUCCACGUUCAUGAAACGCCCACUACCGGCAGACCCACCGGGCAGGUGCAGGGCACAGCUGUCUCAAAGCCUGCGGAGAUUCUGUUGCUGCUUCUGCCCUGGAAUCUUCUCUUUGUCUCCGCCAAACCCAGGAACCAGCUCCAUCCACAGUGGACUUUGACCAUGUUGGGCCUGCACACACGCAGGGGCCUUUGCUCUUGCUGUACUUUGUGGUACUGGGGGUGGAACCCAGAGGCCUCACGCAGGCUGGCAAGGGCUGCACCGCGGAGCCCCAAUCCCAGUCCCACAGAGUUUUAGUCAGCUGCAGAGGAAAAAAGAAACCGUGUCGAGUGAGGGAAAACGGAUGGAGCUCGAGGACUUCACGUGGCGUGAAAUCAGCCAGCUCCCAAGGCCAAGGUCAUGUGUUUUCUCUCCUCUGUGGGAAAGAAGGGUGGGGUCUGGGGAGAACUGGAGGGAAAGGAGGGGGAGCGAGGUGGGAAGGAAAGGGGACUCUGGAGAAGGCCACUGGGUGAGUCACUCCGCGAGUCGAGUGCUGUAUGAACACGUGGCGAGGCCCCCGUAGGCACAGCUACCAUGCACCAGGGAAGACCACUAGUCGACCUGUUUCUGCCAUAAAAGAACAAUCAUCGCGCCAUCCCAAGGGUCCCUCUGGGUCACAGGACGUGCCCUGGACACGUCCACGGUGCGGCCCUGGGCAGUUUGCUGGGGACACUCUGUGGUGACUUCCUGCCCUGUUUUCUACUGGAACCCAGUGGGCUGCGCAGCUCCUUCUUCCCACCGCCCACCAUCCUGGUCUUCCCUCUCCAGACACCCGCUGGCCCUUGACUGGCUCCUGCCUGUGCCCAGGAAAUGACCAGAGGAUCUGAGAAGAGGGGGAGCUUGAGGCCUGCGGCCCGGGAGAUGCUGGACGUCAGCAUCUGCCAGAGUCGGCGACUCCCCAGGGAGGUUCCCAGAGAACCAGCUGGGCCUGAAGGCCCUGCAGUCACCGCCCAUCCAGGGACGGACCCCUGGCCUCCCUCCGUCUUCCCGAGGAGGAUCAGUGGCCUCGAGACCUUACCUGUUUCCUGAGCCAGCAGGCAAGAAACAGACGUUGAAGGAGUACCACUAAGAGGUGUGCCUUCACCUGCUCCUGGGAAUCCAUCUUGUCACCAGUACACACCUGAGGCAGGUAAUACCAUCUACUCCUUCCUCUCCACCCUGGGGAGGUACUGCCACCCACUCCAGCCUCUGCACACACCUGAGGCAGGUACUGCAUUCCCUCCAUCCUCUCCACCCUGAGGCAGGUACCACCAUCCUCUGCCCACACCUGAGGCAGGUAUUUCCACACCGGUCCCGAGGCUAGGAUGCCCCGACCCGCAGCACCCAGCAGACCUCAGAGUUACUAAGUGCAACUGUCCCGCGGCUCCUCCCCCAGGGAAACUUGCCCACCCUCUUCCUACAAUCAGGUCAGACCCUCCAGAUGGAGGGAGGAGGCCCUGGAGAUGCCCUGGACCCUGCUUCCUGGGGGCACCUCUGCCUGCCAUGGCCUCUCUUCCAUCACCAGAGGUCAGAGGACCCUCGGCUCUAUCUUCAGGGUCCAGCUGAUCUUGCAGGCGAGGACCUGUAAGGAAGACUUUAGGUGAAAGUUCUCCAGACAUUUCUGGAAAAUACAAAGUGGCAAAUCUGGCCCAGGAGGACAGAAAACUCAGGAUGUGGAGUGAGGAAGACCUCACCCUUCUGCAGAGAGCCCCGAGGCCACCC